UACGUAGGGUGGGAGCGUUGCCCGGAUUUAUGGGGCGGAAAGGGCGCGUAGGCGGCCGAUCAAGUCGGGGGUGAAAGCCUGUGGCUCAACCACAGAAUUGCCUUCGAUACUGUUUGGCUUGAGACCGGAAGAGGUAAGUGGAACUGCGAGUGUAGAGGUGAAAUUCGUAGAUAUUCGCAAGAACACCAGUGGCGAAGGCGGCUUACUGGUCCGGUUCUGACGCUGAGGCGCGAAAGCGUGGGGAGCAAACAGG
RNAcentral lists this ribosomal RNA (253 nucleotides) under uncultured bacterium. RNAcentral's name for it is "partial 16S ribosomal RNA". It matches the Rfam family "Bacterial small subunit ribosomal RNA", at positions 524 to 776 of the family's 1533-position model. The record is from RNAcentral.